Long non-coding RNA from Quercus robur (English oak), 1176 nucleotides. RefSeq lists it as uncharacterized. The record is from RefSeq and is a predicted model, not a curated record. NCBI's taxonomy places the organism in Eukaryota, Viridiplantae, Streptophyta, Magnoliopsida, Fagales, Fagaceae. The transcript is spliced from 3 exons.
UGAGAAUUGUACAUUGUGUGUUUGUAUUAAUUUUGAUGUAUGGUUAUAAUGGGAGUCAAUCAUGGGAUACUUCUUUUGCUAUUCAAGUGAUUAUAUCAACUAACAUUGCUGAAGAAUAUGGAGCAACUUUAAGAAAAGCACAUGACUACAUAAAGGAUUCGCAGGUCUUAGAAGAUUGUCCUGGAGAUCUAAAUUUUUGGUAUUGUCACAUUUCAAAAGGUGCUAGGCCAUUCUCAACUGCAGAUCAUGGAUGGCCUAUUUCUGAUUACACUGCAGAAGGAUUGAAGGUCAAGUUAGAACAAACAGUUCCAUUCUAUAUAAUGGAAAAAAUUUAUGAUAUCUAUUUCUUUGUGCAGGCUGUUUUAUUACUAUAAACAUUCCCAUCAGAAACAGUUGGGAAGUCGUUAGAUGUGAAGCAGUUAUAUGAUGCUGUAAAUGUUCUCCUUUCCUUACAGAAUACUGAUGGUGGCUUUGCAACUUAUGAAUUAACUACAUCCUACCAGUGGUUGGAGGUAACUAUUAUAACUUCUUAAGGCUUCUUUCUUUUACUUUUACCUUUAGUUUUAAAUAAUUCUUCUUACCAUGAAUUUGCUAUGUCUUGAAAGUUUGAAUUAUUGCCAAGUACCCCCUUAUUAAGAGCUUCAUGACUAAGCUGGCCCUGUUCUCCCAGUGAUAUUUGAACUCAAAUACAAUGAAUGUUUAGGCUUAGCCUUCACUUAGAAAAAAAUUAUAAAUUACUUGUGAAUUGUUUUUCCUCGUUUAUGUUCUUAGACAGAUAUUAUAUAACUCAGCCCUAGAAUCUUUUGUGACUUUUGGCUGCACCAAUAUUGUGAUUCAUACUAAUCCAUUGGAAGAAAACCAUCAGUGUUUGGAAUGACACUUUAAUUCCACCUUGAAUUUCAUUGUAUGGAAACCCCUUGAAUUGAGAUGGCUAAAAUACCUUAGGAAUUUUUAGUUCAGAAAAAUAACAUUGAUUCACAAACUUUAAAAAAGCUGAAUUUUCACUGAGAUGAGAUACUUCCAGAAUCAUACAUCUGAAGUUGUGAAGUAAACGUAGAAUAGAAUGUGGCACUUUGAAGCUUUGAAGUUUUAUGUAAUUCUUAAAAGAAAGAGUUCUGUAUACGAACAUUUCUGCAUGAUAUGUGCACCUGACUUUAUUGUUCUUCCAUUUUGUUG